UCGCGGCUUAUCACCGGCAGUCCCCUUAGAGUGCCCAACUAAAUGAUGGCAACUAAGGGCGAGGGUUGCGCUCGUUGCGGGACUUAACCCAACAUCUCACGACACGAGCUGACGACAGCCAUGCACCACCUGUGACAGUGUCCCGAAGGAAAACCAUGUUUCCAUGGCGGUCACUGACAUGUCAAGCCCAGGUAAGGUUCUUCGCGUUGCGUCGAAUUAAACCACAUGCUCCGCUGCUUGUGCGGGCCCCCGUCAAUUCCUUUGAGUUUCAGCCUUGCGGCCGUACUCCCCAGGCGGGGCACUUAAUGCGUUAGCGCCGGCCCUCGGGGGGUCGCUCCCCCAAGCGCCUAGUGCCCAUCGUUUACGGCGUGGACUAC
RNAcentral lists this unclassified non-coding RNA (377 nucleotides) under uncultured bacterium. Its description in RNAcentral is "contains 16S-23S intergenic spacer region". The record is from RNAcentral.